AACGCACCUUGCGCUCCCUGGUAUUCCGGGGAGCAUGCCUGUUUGAGUGUCAUGAACUCUUCAACCCACCAGUUUCUAGUAGACUGCGUUGGUGUUUGGAUUUUGAGCGUUGCUAGUCUAACUAGCUCGUUCGUAAUAUAUUAGCAUCUCUAAUUCGAAUUCGGAUUGACUCAGUGUAAUAGACUAUUCGCUGAGGACACUUUUAUUAGUGGCCGUACUAGAACCAGUAGAAGCUUCCAACUAUUGUAGUCAACUUUAUUUUAGACCUCAGAUCAGGCAGGAUUACCCGCUGAACUUAA
RNAcentral lists this unclassified non-coding RNA (299 nucleotides) under uncultured fungus. RNAcentral's name for it is "sequence contains ITS2". The stretch from base 1 to 52 matches the Rfam family "5.8S ribosomal RNA", at positions 103 to 154 of the family's 154-position model. RNAcentral also lists the same sequence under 1 other name. Lineage: Eukaryota; Fungi. The record is from RNAcentral.